GACGAACGCUGGCGGCGUGCUUAACACAUGCAAGUCGAACGGAAAGGCCUUUUCAGCGGUCCUCGAGUGGCGGCCGGGGGCGUAACACGUGGGUGAUCUGCCCUGCCCUCUUGUAUGAGCCUGGGAAACUGGGUCUACUACCGGUUAGGCCCGAUACUUCGUGUGUGUGGUGGCAAGUGAUUUCGGUGUAGUAUGCGCCUGCGGGCGACCAGCUUGUUUGUGGGGGUAUGGCGUACCAAGGCGGAGAGGGGGAGCCGGACUGAGAGGUUUGGCGGCCACAUUGGGACUGUGAGACAGCCCAGAGUCCGGCGGGAGGGAGCAGUGGGGAAUACUGGACAAUGGGCGCCAGCGUGAUGCAGCGAGGCCGCGUGGGUGAUGACGGCCUUUGGGUUGUAAACACAGUUCGCCAGGGACGAAGCGUUUUGUGACGGUAACUGGAGAAGAAGCACCGGCUAACUACGGG
RNAcentral lists this ribosomal RNA (463 nucleotides) under uncultured bacterium. Its description in RNAcentral is "partial 16S ribosomal RNA". It matches the Rfam family "Bacterial small subunit ribosomal RNA", at positions 28 to 507 of the family's 1533-position model. The record is from RNAcentral.